This 76-nucleotide transfer RNA is filed under the name Nitrospira sp. RNAcentral describes it as "tRNA-Ala". It matches the Rfam family "tRNA". From Rfam's summary of the family: Transfer RNA (tRNA) molecules are approximately 80 nucleotides in length. The record is from RNAcentral. Lineage: Bacteria; Pseudomonadati; Nitrospirota; Nitrospiria; Nitrospirales; Nitrospiraceae. RNAcentral also lists the same sequence under 1 other name.
GGGGCUGUAGCUCAGCUGGGAGAGCGCCUGGUUCGCAAUCAGGAGGUCGGGAGUUCGAUCCUCCCCAGCUCCACCA